RNAcentral lists this unclassified non-coding RNA (200 nucleotides) under soil metagenome. RNAcentral's name for it is "partial contains internal transcribed spacer 2 and large subunit ribosomal RNA". The record is from RNAcentral.
AAUAAACAAGCGGCUCGUCUGAAAUGCCUGAGUGUACCCCGCUUUGCGGCGUAUUCGGUGUGAUAAAUCUCCACCGGAGUUGAUCCCUUUAUGGGGGUCGCGUCUGUAAUGGUGUGGCUCUAUGCUUCAAACUGUCUCCUAUCGGGACAAAUCUCUGACAAUUUGACCUCAAAUCGGGUGGGACUACCCGCUGAACUUAA